UUGCACGCUGGCGGCAUGCUUUACACAUGCAAGUCGCACGGCAGCGCGGGCUUCGGCCUGGCGGCGAGUGGCGAACGGGUGAGUAAUACAUCGGAACGUGCCCAGUAGUGGGGGAUAGCUCGGCGAAAGCCGGAUUAAUACCGCAUACGACCUGAGGGUGAAAGCGGGGGAUCUUCGGACCUCGCGCUAUUGGAGCGGCCGAUGGCAGAUUAGCUAGUUGGUGGGGUAAAGGCCUACCAAGGCGACGAUCUGUAGCUGGUCUGAGAGGACGACCAGCCACACUGGGACUGAGACACGGCCCAGACUCCUACGGGAGGCAGCAGUGGGGAAUUUUGGACAAUGGGCGAAAGCCUGAUCCAGCAAUGCCGCGUGUGUGAUGAAGGCCUUCGGGUUGUAAAGCACUUUUGGCGGGAACGAAAAGGACUGUGCCAAUACCACGGUUCGAUGACGGUACCCGCAGAAUAAGCACCGGCUAACUACGUG
This 483-nucleotide ribosomal RNA is filed under the name uncultured bacterium. RNAcentral describes it as "partial 16S ribosomal RNA". It matches the Rfam family "Bacterial small subunit ribosomal RNA", at positions 29 to 507 of the family's 1533-position model. The record is from RNAcentral.